This 116-nucleotide microRNA precursor is filed under the name Eucalyptus grandis. Lineage: Eukaryota; Viridiplantae; Streptophyta; Magnoliopsida; Myrtales; Myrtaceae. The record is from RNAcentral.
AGAGUAGAUGUGAGCCAAGGAUGACUUGCCGCCAUAUCUAUAGCCAUCGGCAGAUGUAAUAUAUGUGUUGGAUUGGGUCUUAUGCGGCAAGCAUCUUUGGUUCUAGUUUGCUCACU